This 751-nucleotide ribosomal RNA is filed under the name uncultured haloarchaeon. RNAcentral describes it as "bacterial SSU rRNA". It matches the Rfam family "Archaeal small subunit ribosomal RNA", at positions 117 to 867 of the family's 1478-position model. Lineage: Archaea; Methanobacteriati; Methanobacteriota; Halobacteria; Halobacteriales; Halobacteriaceae. The record is from RNAcentral.
UGGAUCCGAAUAACCUCGGGAAACUGAGGCCAAUCCGGAAUACGAUUCCCAGCUGGAACUGCUGGGAAUCCGAAACGCUCAGGCGCCAUAGGAUGUGGCUGCGGCCGAUUAGGUAGACGGUGGGGUAACGGCCCACCGUGCCAAUAAUCGGUACGGGUUGUGAGAGCAAGAGCCCGGAGACGGUAUCUGAGACAAGAUACCGGGCCCUACGGGGCGCAGCAGGCGCGAAACCUUUACACUGCACGCCAGUGCGAUAAGGGGACUCCGAGUGCGAGGGCAUAUAGUCCUCGCUUUUCACCAUCGUAAGGAGGUGGUAGAACAAGUGCUGGGCAAGACCGGUGCCAGCCGCCGCGGUAAUACCGGCAGCACGAGUGAUGACCGCUAUUAUUGGGCCUAAAGCGUCCGUAGCUGGCCGCGCAAGUCUAUCGGGAAAUCUGUGUGCCUAACACACAGGCGUCCGGUGGAAACUGCUCGGCUUGGGACCGGAAGACCAGAGGGGUACGUCUGGGGUAGGAGUGAAAUCCCGUAAUCCUGGACGGACCACCGGUGGCGAAAGCGCCUCUGGAAGACGGAUCCGACGGUGAGGGACGAAAGCUCGGGUCACGAACCGGAUUAGAUACCCGGGUAGUCCGAGCUGUAAACGAUGUCUGCUAGGUGUGACGCAAACUACGAGUUUGCGUCGUGCCGUAGGGAAGCCGUGAAGCAGACCGCCUGGGAAGUACGUCCGCAAGGAUGAAACUUAAAGGAAUUG